Molecule: ribosomal RNA, 373 nt
Filed under: Serratia marcescens
Lineage: Bacteria; Pseudomonadati; Pseudomonadota; Gammaproteobacteria; Enterobacterales; Yersiniaceae
Description: bacterial LSU rRNA
Rfam family: Bacterial large subunit ribosomal RNA
Source: RNAcentral
CCCUAAGGCGAGGCUGAAAAGCGUAGUCGAUGGGAAACAGGUUAAUAUUCCUGUACUUGGUGUUACUGCGAAGGGGGGACGGAGAAGGCUAGGCUAGCCGGGCGACGGUUGUCCCGGUUUAAGCGUGUAGGGGGUGUGACCUGGUAAAUCCGGUUGCAUAUCAACCCUGAGGCGUGAUGACGAUGCGCUACGGUGCAGAAGUAGUUGAUGCCCUGCUUCCAGGAAAAGCCUCUAAGCUCCAGGUAACAUUAAAUCGUACCCCAAACCGACACAGGUGGUCAGGUAGAGAAUACCAAGGCGCUUGAGAGAACUCGGGUGAAGGAACUAGGCAAAAUGGUGCCGUAACUUCGGGAGAAGGCACGCUGGCAUGUAG